This 421-nucleotide ribosomal RNA is filed under the name uncultured bacterium. Its description in RNAcentral is "bacterial SSU rRNA". It matches the Rfam family "Bacterial small subunit ribosomal RNA", at positions 355 to 774 of the family's 1533-position model. The record is from RNAcentral.
UAAGGAAUAUUGGUCAAUGGACGCAAGUCUGAACCAGCCAUGCCGCGUGAAGGAUGAAGGUCCUCUGGAUUGUAAACUUCUUUUAUCUGGGACGAAAACGGGAUUUUUAUCUCAAUUGACGGUACCAGAGGAAUAAGCACCGGCUAACUCCGUGCCAGCAGCCGCGGUAAUACGUAGGAGGCAAGCGUUAUCCGGAAUUACUGGGCGUAAAGGGCGUCUAGGUGGGACGUCAAGCGGGGUGUGAAAGCUCCUGGCUUAACUGGGAGAGUGCGCUCUGAACUGACGACCUAGAGGGCAGGCGACGGAGGUGGAAUUCCCGGUGGAGUGGUGAAAUGCGUAGAGAUCGGGAGGAACACCAGUGGCGAAGGCGGCCUCCGAGCCUGAACCUGACGCUGAAGCGCGAGAGCGUGGGGAGCAAACG